GACGAACGCUGGCGGCGUGCUUAACACAUGCAAGUCGAACGGAAAGGCCCUGCUUUUGUGGGGUGCUCGAGUGGCGAACGGGUGAGUAACACGUGAGUAACCUGCCCUUGACUUUGGGAUAACUUCAGGAAACUGGGGCUAAUACCGGAUAGGAGCUCCUGCUGCAUGGCGGGGGUUGGAAAGUUUCGGCGGUUGGGGAUGGACUCGCGGCUUAUCAGCUUGUUGGUGGGGUAGUGGCUUACCAAGGCUUUGACGGGUAGCCGGCCUGAGAGGGUGACCGGCCACAUUGGGACUGAGAUACGGCCCAGACUCCUACGGGAGGCAGCAGUGGGGAAUAUUGCACAAUGGGCGGAAGCCUGAUGCAGCAACGCCGCGUGCGGGAUGACGGCCUUCGGGUUGUAAACCGCUUUCGCCUGUGACGAAGCGUGAGUGACGGUAAUGGGUAAAGAAGCGCCGGCUAACUACGUG
This 468-nucleotide ribosomal RNA is filed under the name uncultured bacterium. Its description in RNAcentral is "partial 16S ribosomal RNA". It matches the Rfam family "Bacterial small subunit ribosomal RNA", at positions 28 to 507 of the family's 1533-position model. The record is from RNAcentral.